GCUCCGGUGGUGUGAUGGUAGCACGCGCCUUCGAUAUGGGUGAAACGCGGGUUCCACUCCCGCCUGAGAUCG
Molecule: non-coding RNA, 72 nt
Organism: Parelaphostrongylus tenuis
Lineage: Eukaryota; Metazoa; Nematoda; Chromadorea; Rhabditida; Metastrongylidae
Source: the annotation of a GenBank genome assembly